CUGUAAACUUAAUGCAAGCCAGCAACGAGAUGGAAGUUUAACAAGCUGACUCUGUUAUUUGACCUGUCCCAGUGCAGCAGAGGAGCCAGUGAAGAACAGCUGUGCUGUGCUCCACCUGGACCUGAUGACAUUUUGACGUCCAGAGCAUCCUGCCAUUCUGUAUGCACGUAAGAUCCUGACAAGAAAUUGUGCAACUUAUGCAAAAGUUAAAAAACAACCUGCCUUAGUCAGUGAUUUCACACUAUCCACAAUCACAAGAUAUAAGCGGUGAACCUUACAAUGUACAUAAUAUGCACAUUUUGCCACAUCCUGAAUUUGUGUGCAAACGCAAAAGUGCUUUCCAGUCAUAACAGCAUUUCUGCCAUAGCCAUGACCGACUAGGUUGUUAUGAUACUCCAGCCCAUGCUUUUCAAAGCAUUUUAUGAUCAAACUACUUAGUCCUGUGUCAUCCACAAUAACACUGCUAUCUGCUCCUAUCUAUAUUAUGUUGUUGAUUAUGUUUGAUGUGUCAUUCAUGCACAUAGAUUGAAUAAAAAAAUAAGUAUUGCAAAUGAUACUGAUUCAUAAUGUUUUAUUUAAGUUUGAAAAGGA
Molecule: long non-coding RNA, 591 nt
Organism: Engraulis encrasicolus (European anchovy)
Lineage: Eukaryota; Metazoa; Chordata; Actinopteri; Clupeiformes; Engraulidae
Exons: 3
Source: RefSeq, a predicted model, not a curated record